UUUUUCGGAAAAUGUAUUACCAAUUCAGUUUUUUUUAAUCUUUUUGAAACAAUUGUAGUUUUUUUAACAACUUAAGCUUGACGGCUCAUUUCAUAUACAUGCUUGAGAUAGAGUACAAGUUAUUUAAAAGAUAAACAAACUAUUAACAAGUUGAACCUAGUCCGAGCUAUGACUCUCCUAAAAUAAACCGACUCAAGCUUCAGCAUCAUUUCAAGUUUUCAGCGGCUUGGCUGAAGCUCUAUUGUAACCCUAAUUUUGAGAGAGAUAUAGGUAGUUUAAGGAUUAUCAUGAUGAUCUUGCUUCUUGAUAUGGGAUCACAUAAGGAAUCUAGUUAAAUGAUUCUAAGGGUGAACUUUAACUUCAUGAUAGAAUUGCUGUUUCUCGACCUAUGUAACCAAGAUUCGAGACAUUGAAAAUUGAAACCUCCUUACUUGCAGGGUAAGGCUGGUUACAUUGACCCUCACCAAGCCCUACAUUGUUAAAACACUCAUGCAUUGGGUGUCACUCCUUAGUCAAAUAUGGUUUUUCCCUACCUCCCUGUAGCAACCAUCAUUCCUAGAUCAAAGAGUUGAUAAGUAUUAAAAGAUCAUAAUUAAUUAGUUAAAUAUAUACUGGAGUCUUAUAGAAGUCAAGCAAGUGCUAAUCCAAUUUUUAUUUCCAAAAAAGGUCACUAUAAUGUGAACAGAAAGAUUAUAAUGGCUUCAUGUGCAUGAAAAGGCUGCUUUAAGUAGCUUGGCACUAGCUUUAAUUUUUUGUGCACUUUUCAUUUCUAAAUGCCUUUUUUCUUUUUUAAACCUUCAUUUAUAACCCCAAACUUUUCUAUUUGUGCUUGUCCAUUACGUAAAGUUAUUUUCUAUUUCAUAAUGUUUUUUGUGACUGUAGUAAAAUGUAAAUUAGAAUAAGAAAACAUAACUGAGCCACUACAACAUCCAAUAUGGUGUCAAGCAAUAAGUACUGCAUAUGAUCUUAUUUUUCUUAUUGUUAUUGCUAAUUUUCCCCACACCCCAACAUAUAGUGGAUUUUACUUAUUUUAAUUUCAAAAUAGAGCAUCUCCUUCGAAGGCUGCUAAAAUUUUCUUUUUUUCUUGAGCUAUAAAUAAAAUAAAAGAAUACCGUAGUGAAUCCAAGACGAUAAUUUCCCUCCUAUAGUAUUAUUAGUCUCACAUGUUGUACAAGAAUAAUAUAACAAUAACAAAACCAUAAGAUCCAACUAUUUGGGGUCAGUUACAUGGAUCUUUUGUCUGCACUAUGAUCUGUAAAAAGUCAUAUGUUUAAUUAAGUUCAGAGUACUUAAAUCUUUAUUUAUAAUUUCUAUUAAAGUUUUUUUAGGUCAUCCUCUACCUCUUCUAGUACCAUUAAGAUUAAUCAUUUCAUAUUUUCUGACUAUCGCAUUCGGAAACCUCCUAAACAUAUGCCCAUAUAAUUUUAAACUAUUUUCUCUCAUCUUAUUCUCUAACGAAACAAUAUAUAGUUAUUCACGAAUAAAAUUUUUUUUUUCCUAUAUUUCCUAGGAACUCCACACAUCCAUCUUAACAUUGUUAUCUCGACAACAUAAUUUUUUUAUAUUUUUUUUUAACUGCCCAACACCCAGAUCUAUAAAGUAUUGUUGAUUCAUAACUAUCUUAUAAAAUUUUUCUUUUAAUCUCAAAAAUCUCCGAUGAUCACACAAGACUCCUGAAAUUUAAUCUAGAGUAAGAUAGUCAGAUAGAACUCAUAAAAAUAUCUUAAAAAGAGUCCAAUCUAAUAUCUAGUUGAUAGUAAAUAGUAAGCUUGAUCAGAUUAAAGAACAUAUGAACAAAUGAAAUAGAUGAUAAAUAAGCAAGAGAAAAUUGAAUAGGUCCACAUUUUGCAUCAAUGUCAAUGAUCAAUCAGUCACUGACUAAAUAACAUAAAAAAAUAAUUUUUAACAUUUCUUUUCAAGAAAAUACAAAUAUAAGAAUUAAUUAUUGAAGGUCCUAAAGUCAAGGUUAAAUAACAAAAUGAUGAUGAAAAGAAAAUCAGCUAUCGCCCACACGUUACCAAAACGAAAACAGAUUUUAGAGUUGAUAAAACUAACUUAGCAAUGACUGAUGAAGGAAUUUCACAAGAGUGAUUAAUGGUGCCAAAUUUACACAGUUCUACAAGAUGGUCAAGAUUAUCACCCAAUUUGGUGGGAUACAAUCAUCAAUCUUAAUAUCAGAGUUGAUCAAACUAAAGGAAUAGUUUCAAUCAACCUAUCAGAUUCUAGAAUCUUUCUUGAAAUACUUAAAAAAGGGCAUAUCCAAUGCACGAGGCUCUCGCCAAUAUGGGAUCCGGAGAGGAUCAAUGUACUAAGUCUUAUCUUAAAAUAUUUAAAUAUACUAUUUUCGUGACUCGAUCCUUGGUCUUCCAGGUUGCAAAGGAAUAAUCUUAUCGUUGUACAAAGGCUCGCCAUGCACGCACACUUCCGUCUAUAUAAAUAUCUUUCACUGCUCAAUUAUGUAAUAAUAUCCAUCUUUUCCUCUAACAUUCUGGGUCAUAUAGUCAUAUGUUAUUACUUUUCCCAACAAAUUGUAUUAUCUUGUACCAUGAACGAAUUCAGAUACUGAGUUAUUACCAAAUAGUUGGUCUCGUUCUGCAGCUAAUCAGGGGCAUCUAUAGGCAACAAAAUUCCGCCACAAUUAUCAAUAAAAAAUAAUGUGGCAACUCCGGCAAGCUGUUCACCCACUAUACCCAAAAGAUCCACAGGGCAUCAGUCCAAUCAUCCCAUCAAUCAUCAAAAAUCAUAUAAAUUUAUCACACGUGACGAAAACCGACGAACAGCAGACAACAUAAUCUAACAAAUCUCAAACGGAUUUCACGUCGAAGGGAGGGGGAAGAAGAAUACUCUAAGAAACAAGAAAGGAAGGUGGAGAUGGAGAUCGUCCGAUCAGAAUAACUUAAUGAAUCGGAAAGAUGAAACGACCAAACAGCUUUCUGCAGCAAUCAUCAAAGAGCAACAUGUUUCUUGAUCUACUGCACAUGGAAUAAAAGGUGCAAUUUUUAAUUUCUGAUCAGUGGGGAGAGAGCGAGCGAGGGGAUGCUUACCUUGCAGAGGCGUGCGAAAAGCUUUCGAGCGAGCGUCACUGAUGUGCGAGAGCGAGAGAUGGGGAAGGAACGAAGGGGAUCCAGAGAGAGAGAGAGAGAGACGUGGGUGGGGAUCCGGAAAAGGAAGGGCCGCCACGAGACGAUUGUAACCCAUUUGCGUACAUCGACGGUGAUUCACGGAACCACUCAAGAAACGAUUUAAGCCACCCUUCUGGAAACGCGACACGUCUUCCGACUCGUGCCUUUGGUCGUGGGUUUUGGUGGACCAGACAUGCAACAUUUAUUGGGACUUCUCUUGUUUGCAUGAACUAAGGUUCGUUGACGCCAAGUCAAAUGUGUAAACGCGUAAUGGUUCGAUGGAGACGAAUAGGAAACUUAAGUCAAUUACAUGAGAUAAGGGCCAAUUCUAUAGUAGGGUCAAGGUGGUUAUUUUGGUAAAUUAUUUGAAACAGAGACAGUGCAGCAGAAGGUGAGGUAAUAACAUUUUUAAUUCAUCUUCAGUUUUUGUAGUAUUUUGUUUAAAUGAUAUUGGAUGGUAUAUAUCAUGAUACCAUUAGUAAUAUCAAUCAAGAUUUAUAACUGUGAUUUGAUAUAGUAUGAACAAUAUUUAUGGUAUCUAAGAGAUUUUGAUAUAUAAAACAAGGUAACAUGACCUAUAUACGUUGGAUACAGGACAUGUAUCACUUCCUAUAUUGAUUGUUUAUUUUUUAUCUUUUUAAUUUUUUAGUUUUUUUUCGAGACUCUGAUAUGUACCAAUGUAUCAACAUUUGAUGUACACAAACUUAUGAAUCAUAAUAUAAACUUUCUGUCAAUCUAAUUUAUUACGAAUAUCACUAUUAUAACACUAAUAAUUAUAUAGACAAAAGUACUUGAAAAUCUAAAUUGAAUGCUUGGUCUUUAUUGCUUCUUUUGGUUUCCAAUACAGCUUCAUGAAGAAUACUCAAACUAAAUUUCCAUCUUAAAGGUGUACCCAAAUCUCAUAAUAACAUUUUAAAAUAACUACUAUGAUGUGGCAUGGGAAAGGUUGAAAGAAUACAGACACAUUGCAAGACAAUUGGCUACUUGUAGCCUUCAUCACUGUUCUAAAAUCGAACCCAACAUCUAGUGCACUGAGCCAUGCAGUCUCCCUUACAAUCCACAUUGUAGCCCAAAACUUUAGGAUUCCUAAUAAGAAGAUUACGAAGAGCUUGCCCUUUGAUUCCCCAAUCCUUCUCCAGCAUGUCAAUGUUAGUCUGCACUUCAUCAACUAGACUGCAUCCAAGCACCUCAGGAAACUUCUUCAGUAUUUUGUAUAGGUCCUCAUCAUUAAGGCCCAAACCUUUGAUGUAAUCCAACAUCUCAUUUACCUUUUGUACCUUUGGAACUUCCUUGCUUCUUUCUUCCCCCCAAUAGGGUGAAUGAACCCAGCCAAAUGCCUUUUUGAGAAUGGAGUCUGCUUCCUCAAUCGAAAAUUUUAAUGUGGAGAGUAUUUCUGUGCACGUCUCCCAUGUUUUCUUCUGUUCGUCUUCUAAUAGAACUGCUUGUACCUGUUCAACUGAGUGUAUCCUCCACUUUUUCGAAGUGCAACUUAAAUUACAACUGUUGUUUCGGCUUGCACUCAUUCGAACAAUGGGCCUGAAUCCACAUGAUGAUUUACAUAUAGGCAGCACCAAAUUUGGUAUUGGAAUUGAAGUAUCCAACUGGAAAAAAGCAAAUUUAUGACAGUCAAAAUAUCAUAUAUGUAACAGAUUUGAUUAAACACUAGUAAUAUGAUAAGUGGUACAAUUGGUACACAGAUAAAUUAAUAUAUCAGACACUUUGUUUUGAGUCUUUUGACUGCCAUGCAUGUCUCAAACAAAUGCCCAAAGUUAAUCUUCUGGAUAGCAGGACUCAGAUGAGGGAGGAAAAUAGAUCUUAUACAACGAUGCAAACUCAUUUUAGUUUAAUUAAUUUAUAGCAUAAACUGUCAUAAGUGAUUUUCUACUUGUUGUUAUGGUUUAAAUCACAGAAAUAUCGUUUCUACUUGUAAGGAAGGUUGAGUAUGUUGAUCCUCCCUAGGUGUAAUAUCGGUAGAGAUGAUGCAUAUACAUUAACUCUCCUCAGAUGCAUAUUGGCAGAAAACUCAUUCACUAGGUUUGUCCUAUUUAAUUAUUGAUAAAUUUCUCUCUCUACGAUAUGCAACAACGAGGCAAAAGUUAAUAUCAAAUGAGAAGGAAGUCGUAAAAAAGGAUGUACCAAGAGAGAGCAGGAUGCUGAGUAUUCAUGGGUCGGUAAAGUCACUGCUGAUGAUCGCCCCAACAUUCCUAAACAAACAGACAAGUGAACGUUGAGAAAAAUGAUAAAGAAAGCAAUAACAAGGAAAAAUAGAUAGGUUUCGUUGGAAAAUAACUACAAGGGAAGAGCUAAAAGACCUGCACUCCAACAACAAUUGACUGUCCAGAAAUUAAAAUUUUAAUCUUAAUCAAAACCCAGAAAAGCACAAUACAAGGGGUUAAAUACAAUCUCCUAUUUGUUAGCAGUCAUAGCUUUUAACAUAUCAUAACCAAAUUAGAAAAACCAGAUAUUUCAGUAACUCUAUCACGAGUUGCAUUUCACUGUAUGUCGUAAAUAUACAUAUAUGCCUGAGAUCCCAGAAAAACACAUAACAAGAGUUAAACUCAAUCGCCUAUUUCCUUGCAGAGUUGUAGUUUCUAUCAUAACCAAAUUGCAAAAAGCAGAUAUUCCAAUAACUCUAUCACAAGCUCCAUCUCACAGUGCACAAACACACAUAUACACAUCAGAUUGUAUGCAUGUAUAAUUGGUUAUCUACAUUUAUAAAAGUAACUUCCUAUUAGGUUUGUUUCUUCAACUCUCAGGUCAUAAAGCUUUUGUCUCCUUUUAAUCUGGUUGAGUUUUCUACAGUAAAGCAAACAUUGUCCAAAAGAAAAGAAGAUAAAAUGACUUCCAUGAAUGGUGAUGGAUGCAUCACCUACGACUACAAAUCAAUCCACAUGAAGGUAAAAAAGACUUCAAGGGAAAUUAAUGUUUUCAUUAUGAGUUUCAUUUCUUCAAAUUUGUGUAUCCUCAGUUGUGUCUUGCUUCAGUCUUUUCCACCUUGUGACCUCCUACUACUCACUUAUGGAGUUUGACAAGAAUAAAUGCUUCGAAACUCCUACAGAAUUACUUUAGAAGAUACCAAAUGUUGUUAAACUAAAUAAUGGGAACUUUUUAAUCUUUAUUGCCUUCAGAUACAUUUUUCCUAUGUACAUAUUAUUUGUAUUGCAGAAAAAUAUAAUCCAUGGUUAACCCCUCUAAUUGUCUCCUUCUGCACAGCCCUUUUGUAUCUUGUUUGCAUCAUUCUAAUUUGUGCUUGAAUUGCUAAAGAAAUAACUCCUACCAUUCACCAAUGGCAACACUCCUAAAUGUAUCUGCCCUUGGUUUAGAGUUUAGACACAAUAUCAAAUGGAAUCUUCAAGGUUGAUGGUUAAUCAACCUGUAUUGACAAAUUUCAAACAGAAUAUCAUCUUCAUAAUUCUUUGAAGGACACAAUAAGCAUUUCUGUGGAAAUAGUAAGUCAGUGUACAAUAAACAUUCUCAGUUAACCGUAGAAUGCUAUUUGGUGCGUCCCACACAGCUUUAUAUAUCUAAAAAGUGUGGGUAAAGUAAAUUGUACAAUUAGCUUCUUACAAUGAAAUGAUGAAAAAGCUAUUUCACAUUGUUAAAAAAGGAAGAAUGUUCCAAUACAUCAAAUGGCGUAUAUGACGCUCACACGUGGAUUCAAACCUGAGACUUAUCACUUGUGCAACAAUGCACUAACCAACCCGGAUGUAUAAACAGAGGCACUCUCAUAUAGUUUAAAACUUUAAAUCACCCCUCCUAAAUAGCAUAACUCUAUUAAUAAAGUUAGAAGUAAGAAUGUGUGGAAAAACAAAGCAUGUUUGUAAGAAGAUAGACUAACGAAAGAAAGAAUGUGAAGUGUAAAGGAAAGAGGAUUCUCCAACAAUAUUCUAAUUUUAAUUUGUAUUAUAAUUCUGCACAAGGUACUUGGGAAAUGACAUCACUGCAUGGAAAUACAAAUGUUUAAAUCGAAUUUACAUCCAACAAAGAACUUGAAACAAAAAUAAAUGCUUAUCUUACUCCUGUAUUCCCUAAAUGAACCUUGAAUAAAUGAUCUAUGGAGCUUUACUUCUUGAUCAAAAUUCUAAAGGUGAACUUUAACUUCAUGAUAGAAUUGUUGUUUCUCGACCUACGUAACCAAGAUUCGAGAGAUUGAAAGUUGAAACCUCCUUGCUUGCAGGGUAAGGCUGGUUACAUUAACGCUCACCAAGCCCUACAUUG
Molecule: long non-coding RNA, 7340 nt
Filed under: Musa acuminata (dwarf banana)
Lineage: Eukaryota; Viridiplantae; Streptophyta; Magnoliopsida; Zingiberales; Musaceae
Description: long non-coding RNA (MACU_LNC000285)
Source: RNAcentral